GGGGCUGCUUUGGUUUCGACGGGUAUAUUUCGUAUAAGAUGGCAAGUGGGAGGUACACCUUACGUACAAAAAACAAUAAAUGCUGAAAAAGUAAAAAAUGCGAUAGCAUCUUUAUUCUCAACUAGAAAUCAAGUUGCUUUUGCCUAAGAAUGGCUCGCAGCUCUCUUCUACUCUUUUCUCAUUAGAGUUUUAGAGGGUUCAUAUCAAUGAGAUAUAUCAUAAUGAUGUCUAUAAGUUAUGAUGAAUUUCUAUAGGCUUGCUAUAAGACUGGUUUGUUAUUGUCUUUAUCUUAUAGGACUAGGAAACAAUAACUAAACUUGUAGAGGUUUUAUAUAGAGUAUAUUCGGACAGGAGUUCAAUUCUCCUCAGCUCCACCA
RNAcentral lists this transfer-messenger RNA (377 nucleotides) under Bacilli. Its description in RNAcentral is "RUG12867 sp902783405 Standard tmRNA". It matches the Rfam family "transfer-messenger RNA". Rfam says of the family: Bacterial tmRNA, also known as 10Sa RNA or SsrA, is named for its dual tRNA and mRNA-like properties. Its role is to liberate the mRNA from a stalled ribosome. Lineage: Bacteria; Bacillati; Bacillota. The record is from RNAcentral. RNAcentral also lists the same sequence under 1 other name.